GCCCAAAAUUAAGCCUAAUUAACUCUCAUGUAUACCCCCACCCAAUUAAACCCAAUGAAACAUCUUGCCAGUCUAGUAGAGGUGAUCAAAAUGCUUAUUAGCGCUUUAUUUUCAGUACCGUAAGGGAAUAAUGAAAUAACUUUGAAACAGAUAUUAAGCCAAAUAUAGCAGAGACCACCCCUCGUACCUUUUGCAUCAUGAUUUAGCCAGUCUUGCUCAAGCAAAGCGAAACAUUAGUUUGACCCCCCGAAACUAGACGAGCUACUUCAAAACAGCUUCACAGAGCUAACCCAUCCCUGUUGCAAAAGAGUGGGGUGAUUUUUAAGUAGAGGUGACAAGCCUACCGAGCCUAGAGAUAGCUGGUUAUUCAGGAAAAGAAUUUUAGUUCAACCUUAAGCCCACACUAUUAAUGACAAAAGACCUAAAAACUUAAGAGCUAUUCAAAUAAGGCACAGCUUAUUUGAUAAAGGAGACAACCUAUUAAAAAGGGUAAAACAAAUUUUGCAGUUUAAGUGGGCCUAAAAGCAGCCAUCUUUUAAAAAGCGUUAAAGCUUGUACUCUUCUUAAAAUUAAUUCCUAAAAACUUCUUAAACCCUUUAUUUUUACUGAAUGAUUCUAUACCACUAUAGAAGCCACUAUGCUAAAACUAGUAACAAGAAAUUGAACUUCUCUAAAAUGUAAGCAUAAACCAAAAAGGACAAACCAUUGGUAAUUAACGUCAAUGAAACCCACAUAGCAACUUCUUCAAGAAAACCCUAUUCUCACUUACGUUAACCUAACACAAGCACAUUUCUAGAAAGAUUAAAAGAAAGGGAAGGAACUCGGCAAAUUUUAACCCCGCCUGUUUACCAAAAACAUCGCCUCUUGCUAAUUUAUAAGAGGUCCAGCCUGCCCAGUGACACAGUUAAACGGCCGCGGUACCCUGACCGUGCGAAGGUAGCAUAAUCACUUGUUCUCUAAAUAGGGACUCGUAUCAACGGCAUCACGAGGGUUAUACUGUCUCCCCUCUCUAAUCAGUGAAACUGACUUCCCCGUGAAGAGGCGGGGAUAACAAUACAAGACGAGAAGACCCCAUGGAGCUUUAAACCCAAUGACAACUUCUACCAACCACCCCCUCUAAGUACAGAAGCCAUGUACAUUGGUUUUAGGUUGGGGUGACCACGGAGCAUAACAAAACCUCCAUGACGAAUAGAUAUUCAUCCUAAUCCAAGAGCUACCGCUCUAAGAAUCAAAAAUUUGACGUACAAUGAUCCGGCAACCGAUCAACGAACCAAGUUACCCUGGGGAUAACAGCGCAAUCCAUUUCAAGAGCUCUUAUCGACAAAUGGGUUUACGACCUCGAUGUUGGAUCAGGGUAUCCCAGUGGUGUAGCCGCUACUAAAGGUUUGUUUGUUCAACAAUUAAAACCCU
This 1410-nucleotide ribosomal RNA is filed under the name Limnonectes fastigatus. RNAcentral's name for it is "partial 16S ribosomal RNA". It matches the Rfam family "Bacterial large subunit ribosomal RNA", at positions 267 to 2597 of the family's 2925-position model. Lineage: Eukaryota; Metazoa; Chordata; Amphibia; Anura; Dicroglossidae. The record is from RNAcentral.